AAGUCGUAACAAGGUUUCCGUAGGUGAACCUGCGGAAGGAUCAUUAUUGAAAUAAACCUGAUGGGUUGCUGCUGGUUCUCUAGGGAACAUGUGCACACUUGUCAUCUUUAUAUAUUCACCUGUGCACCUUUUGUAGACCUGAAUAUCUUUCUGAGUGCCUAGCAUUCAGGAUUGGGGAUUGACUUUUAUUUUGUCUUUCCUUGCAUUUUCAGGCCUAUGUUUCUUCAUAUACCCCAUGUAUGUUAUAGAAUGUAGUCAAUGGGUGUUUGUGCCUAUAAACCUAUACAACUUUCAGCAACGGAUCUCUUGGCUCUC
This 315-nucleotide unclassified non-coding RNA is filed under the name air metagenome. Its description in RNAcentral is "partial contains small subunit ribosomal RNA, internal transcribed spacer 1, and 5.8S ribosomal RNA". The stretch from base 1 to 46 matches the Rfam family "Eukaryotic small subunit ribosomal RNA", at positions 1786 to 1831 of the family's 1831-position model. The record is from RNAcentral.